AGGCGCGUAGCUCAGCUGGUUAGAGCGCUACCUUGACACGGUAGAGGUCGGAGGUUCGAGUCCUCUCGUGCCUACCA
Molecule: transfer RNA, 77 nt
Filed under: Granulicella sp. 5B5
Lineage: Bacteria; Pseudomonadati; Acidobacteriota; Terriglobia; Terriglobales; Acidobacteriaceae
Description: tRNA-Val
Rfam family: tRNA
About the family: Transfer RNA (tRNA) molecules are approximately 80 nucleotides in length. Their secondary structure includes four short double-helical elements and three loops (D, anti-codon, and T loops). Further hydrogen bonds mediate the characteristic L-shaped molecular structure. tRNAs have two regions of fundamental functional importance: the anti-codon, which is responsible for specific mRNA codon recognition, and the 3' end, to which the tRNAs corresponding amino acid is attached (by aminoacyl-tRNA synthetases). tRNAs cope with the degeneracy of the genetic code in two manners: having more than one tRNA (with a specific anti-codon) for a particular amino acid; and 'wobble' base-pairing, i.e. permitting non-standard base-pairing at the 3rd anti-codon position.
Source: RNAcentral